UACGGAGGGGGCGAGUGUUGUUCGGAAUUAUUGGGCGUAAAGGGCGCGCAGGCGGCUUGGCAAGUCGAGUGUGAAAUCCCUUGGCUUAACUGAGGAAUGGCGCUCGAAACUACCUCGCUAGAGGGCGGGAGAGGGAAGUGGAACUCUCGGUGUAGGGGUGAAAUCUGUAGAUAUCGAGAGGAACACCGGUGGCGAAGGCGGGUCUCUGGACAGUUCCUGACGCUGAGGCACGAAGGCCAGGGGAGCAAACGGG
This 253-nucleotide ribosomal RNA is filed under the name uncultured bacterium. RNAcentral describes it as "partial 16S ribosomal RNA". It matches the Rfam family "Bacterial small subunit ribosomal RNA", at positions 524 to 776 of the family's 1533-position model. The record is from RNAcentral.